This 439-nucleotide ribosomal RNA is filed under the name uncultured bacterium. Its description in RNAcentral is "partial 16S ribosomal RNA". It matches the Rfam family "Bacterial small subunit ribosomal RNA", at positions 339 to 795 of the family's 1533-position model. The record is from RNAcentral.
CUACGGGACGCUCCAGUGAGGAAUAUUGCACAAUGGGGGGAACCCUGAUGCAGCAACGCCGCGUGGAGGAUGACGCAUUUCGGUGUGUAAACUCCUUUUAUAUGUCAAGAGAAUGACGGUAGCAUAUGAAUAAGCACCGGCUAACUCCGUGCCAGCAGCCGCGGUAAUACGGAGGGUGCAAGCGUUACUCGGAAUCACUGGGCGUAAAGGACGCGUAGGCGGGUUGGAAAGUCAGGUGUGAAAUCCUACAGCUUAACUGUAGAACUGCACUUGAAACUUCUAAUCUAGAGUAUGGGAGGGGGAGGUGGAAUUAGUGGUGUAGGGGUAAAAUCCGUAGAUAUCACUAGGAAUACCUAAAGCGAAGGCGAUCUCCUGGAACAUUACUGACGCUAAGGCGUGAAAGCGUGGGGAGCAAACAGGAUUAGAUACCCCGGUAGUC